This 254-nucleotide ribosomal RNA is filed under the name uncultured bacterium. RNAcentral's name for it is "partial 16S ribosomal RNA". It matches the Rfam family "Bacterial small subunit ribosomal RNA", at positions 524 to 776 of the family's 1533-position model. The record is from RNAcentral.
UACGGAGGAUCCAAGCGUUAUCCGGAAUUACUGGGCGUAAAGAGUUGCGUAGGUGGCAGGGUAAGUUGAUAUUGAAAGCGUGCGGCUCAACCGCAUACACAUUAUCAAAACUGCCCAGCUAGAGGACGAGAGAGGUAACUGGAAUUCCUAGUGUAGGAGUGAAAUCCGUAGAUAUUAGGAGGAACACCGAUGGCGUAGGCAGGUUACUGGCUCGUUCCUGACACUAAGGCACGAAAGCGUGGGGAGCAAACGGG